Molecule: long non-coding RNA, 3040 nt
Filed under: Vitis vinifera (wine grape)
Lineage: Eukaryota; Viridiplantae; Streptophyta; Magnoliopsida; Vitales; Vitaceae
Description: long non-coding RNA (VVIN_LNC004715)
Source: RNAcentral
GAUAAGAUGUAAUUCAUGCAAUAUAUGGACAGGAAUUAACAGAAUAGCCAGACAGAAUUGCAUUAAACACAGAAAAAAAAUCUGGUAAGAGCACAAACAAAAACAAUCUCCCAUUGUCAGGAAUAUGUAUUCAACCCUUGGAUGGUGGUGUUGCUCUUUAUCAGAAUAAAAUAGAUGUCCUGCAACCUUAAAUCCUGCAUGCAAGUAAAUAACCGGAAGAGCAAGGAAUCAAAUUCAUAACGCUCUCACAAGAAUCCAAAUUUGCCCACCCACUGUUGACAAAUGCAGAGUAGACAAGGUACAUGUUUCAAACAUGGGCCUAACAAGAGCAGCAGCCACAAGCAGGGGUACAACUUGAUUCUAGUUAGAUUUUUUACAUAAACCUAAACUAGAGAGGUCUACCAUAUAGGUUGGUUUUCCUUUCUACUAACUUAGUGUGUCUUUUGGAUUUCUAAAACCUAAAAAUAAGGUUAUUUCAUGUAAAGGACAUAGCAUGAUGAAUGGUAAUAAGAAUCUAGAAGGCUUUAGCAACGCUCUAAGGUUUUUACAUCUCUUUCUCUCUAUUUUCUCGUUCUUUCUUCACUUCUUUUUUCCUUAUUUUUUUUAUAUGCAUCUUUCCUUUUUACACCCUUCCUUUUUUAGGCUCCCAUAACCUUGGUUUCUCAUUUCCUUCCUUAAAUAUUACAAAAAGUAUAUCACUGGACCACCCUUAUUUGAUUGUUGAAAACUACCUUAGGGUUUUCCCAACAUAGUGAAAUGUGUACCAUCCCACCCCACAAACUGGUGCCACUCAACCCAACACUGAUGUUCUAAAUCUUCAGUCAAAUGAAUUCAAGUUUCUAUUUUGACUUGAAUAGGAGGGUUUGAGUUAGAGUUAGAUAGCAACAUGGGAAAUAUUUACAUAAAAUGAGAAGGCAGCAAAUUAAUCUAUUUGAAGCAAAGAUUAACAAAUGACUGGAAUGAACAAAAUGGAAUACUUCGUUCUAACCUACUCAACAAGAUGCAACAUGAGCAUCAAAGUUUAAUAAGGACACAAGGUGUUUUACAUGGCAUCCUCUGUAAAACCAAAAUGUGAGAUAACCAUACACUCAUGCAUGUUGAUAUUGGUCAUCGGGUAAUCAAUAUGGUAAAGGGAAGAAUGCCUAAAAAAAAUGAAGAGAAGGAUUGGAAGAAUCUGUCGACAACUUAAAGGAGAAAAAACUUAGGCAUGUAGAGACUUGUCACUAGAUGCCCAAUAUGGUAAAAAGAAGAUGAGAAGAAGCUGUUGGCAUGCUAAAGAAAAGGAAUAAACAACAUAGGAGAGUACUUGUUGCAUAUUUUUCAAGACUGUUAACGCCUAAAUUAUCCUUGAUCCACUUGACUCUAAUCUCAAGACUGGUAACACCAAAUUGAUCCUUGCACCAAAUGACACAGGAAGUUACAGCCCACUAAGGGGAGAACAGAGUGCAUCUCACAACCUCCAAUACAAACAAGAACAAUCAGAGAGAGAGAGAGAGAGAGAGAGAGAGUACAUGCUCUGUUUUCCUAUCAAAAUCAAAUUUAAAACCAUAAAUGGCAGAUAGUACAAAGUCAAGACCAAAAUUUAGCUCACAAGCAUAAAUAGAACACGACCACCAGCUCAAUAGAAAGAGAUAUUCUAGUACUUAAAUUUUGAUUUGUCACUUAUGUGAUUGAUCUCAGAAAUGUGACCAAAAUCACAUGCAAUAGGCAAUAAAUAAAUCACAAGAAAGAGACACAGGAGGGGGUGGGGAGAACUAUGAGCAUGUCUGAUAUGCCACUAUCUGGACUGGAGUCAAAAUCAAAUUUAAAACCACAAAUGGCAGGUAGUACUAGCUCACAACCAAAUUUUUUUGCUCAUGAUCCCAAAUGAAACAAGAGGACAACCAAAAUAGAAAGAUAUGUUUUAACAGUUGUUUUAAUUGUUGUUAACGGGUGAUUGAUCUCAGAAAUGAGACUAAAAUAUUAUAUGACAGGCAACAUAUAGAUCACAACAAAAAAAUUUGUACACAAUCUCAAAAGGACCAGCUGGCACACCGUUUUUCAGACUGCUUGUAUCGAUCACCAAUAUUCUUUUUAAGUUAUUCAAUUCUUUAACAAGAAAUAUGCUUCACAUGGACUAAAUAAAUUGAAAUGCACCUUUUUUUUAGUAAGUAAAAAUGAAGCAAGUUGAGAUAAAUUUGUUGUGAAUAUGCUGAUCUUAUCCAUAUUAUUGCAUCAAAAAAAUCUGCUCAUGGAUUUACAAUAUCAAUCUCUAAAAUACCCAAGUCACCUUUUUAUUAAGGGAAAAAAGGCAAACAGAAAUUUUAAAAAUUGAAGCCUGCACAAACCAGCCCAUCACCCCAACCAAUAAAUCUGACCACUCUACUUACUCUCACGAGAGGUAAUUAGAUAAUAACUUCAGGUAAGAAAGGAUAUGUAAGGUGAGGAGCAGAGAGCAUGCUGGGCGUCUCUAGUUCUUGCUUAAUAAAGAUAAAAAAGAAUAAAACACUAGUUAAAGGCCGUAUCCCAGUUAUCAGGAAAAGCCACCUCAUGAAUGAAGAAAUGUGCAUGCGAGCUUAUGCACUAGGUGCAAAGAAUUUAUUGUUUCAAAUAUGUGUGUGUGUAUAUAUAUAUAUAGGCAAUAAGAGGGAAUGCCUUGAUAAAGCCUUGGAACAAAUACAAAAAAGUACACCCAAUGUAUACAAUAAGCGCCAAAAGGCAAAAAAAAAAAGAAAAAAAAAAAGGGAAAUUAUAUUGAGCAUAGCCACUCAACAAAUCCUAUCAUGGACAAUGAUUGAUUCUCUACAUACAGAUUAAUCCGUUCUAAAUAUAUAUGAAAAGACCUUCUUUUCUCUUGUAAUCUAAGUCCUAAUCCUAUCCUAUAACUAAGUAGCAAGACUUAAAGUUUAAGUAGAUUAAAUAGUGUUUAGUAAAAUAAUUUAAUACCUCAAUUUAAAGUUUAAAAUAACUUUUUAAGUAUUAAGUAAAAAUAGUUAAUUUAUUCUAAAUCUCCAAUCUUUUUUGUCCCAUUUGCCUACAUCUAGUGAGAAUAUAUUUUACA